GAUGAGCGCUGGCGGCGUGCCUAAUACAUGCAAGUCGAGCGAACAGAUGAGGAGCUUGCUCCGCUGACGUUAUCGGCGGACGGGUGAGUAACACGUGGAUAACCUACUUAUAAUACUGGGAUAACUUCGGGAAAACGGAGCUAAUACCGGAUAAUAUAUUGAACCUCAUGGGUCAAUAGUGAAAGACGGUUUUGCUGUCACUUAUAGAUGGAUCCGCGCCGCAUUAGCUAGUUGGUAAGGUAACGGCUUACCAAGGCAACGAUGCGUAUCCGAACUGAACGGGUGAUCGGCCACACUGGAACUAAAGCACGCAACAGACUCCUACGGGAGGCCGCAGAGGGGAACCUUCCGCACAGGACGAAAGCAUGACCAAGCAGCACCACGUGAGUGGUGAUGGGCUUCGGGUCGUGAAACUCUCUUAUUAGGGAAAAACAACUGUGUAAGUAACUAUCCACGUCUUGACGGUACCUGAUGAAAAAGCCACGGCUAACUACGUG
This 497-nucleotide ribosomal RNA is filed under the name uncultured bacterium. Its description in RNAcentral is "partial 16S ribosomal RNA". It matches the Rfam family "Bacterial small subunit ribosomal RNA", at positions 28 to 507 of the family's 1533-position model. The record is from RNAcentral.